RNAcentral lists this ribosomal RNA (164 nucleotides) under uncultured bacterium. Its description in RNAcentral is "partial 16S ribosomal RNA". It matches the Rfam family "Bacterial small subunit ribosomal RNA", at positions 319 to 479 of the family's 1533-position model. The record is from RNAcentral.
CGGGGGCACGGGGGGCCUACGGGAGGCAGCAGUGGGGAAUUUUGGACAAUGGGCGCAAGCCUGAUCCAGCCAUGCCGCGUGAGUGAAGAAGGCCUUCGGGUUGGAAAGCUCUUUCGGCAGGAACGGAAUGGUUCGUGCUAAUACCACGGACUGAUGACGGUACC